This 433-nucleotide ribosomal RNA is filed under the name uncultured bacterium. RNAcentral describes it as "partial 16S ribosomal RNA". It matches the Rfam family "Bacterial small subunit ribosomal RNA", at positions 29 to 507 of the family's 1533-position model. The record is from RNAcentral.
AACGAACGCUGGCGGCAUGCCUAACACAUGCAAGUCGAACGAGACCUUCGGGUCUUGUGGCGCCUGGGUGCGUAACGCGUGGGAACCUGCACUUAGGUUCGGCAUAACUCUCAGACAGGGGUGCCAAUACCGGAUCAUGUCUUCGGACCAAUUAUAUAUUGAGCUUGGUUGUGCCCGCGUUGGAUUAGCUUGUUGGUAGGGUAAAAGCCUACCAAGGCGACGAUCCAUAGCUGGUCUGAGAGAAUGAUCAGCCACACUGGGACUGAGACACGGCCCAGACUCCUACGGGAGGCAGCAGUGGGUAAUGGAGCACAAUGGGCGGAGGCCUGAUCCAGCAAUGCCGCGUAAGUGAUGAAGGCCGUAGAGUUGUAAAGCGCUUUUAACCGUGAUGAUAAUGACAGUACCGAGAGAAUAAGCUCCGGCUAACUCCGUG